Small nuclear RNA from Ochotona curzoniae (black-lipped pika), 183 nucleotides. RefSeq annotates it as U2 spliceosomal RNA. The record is from RefSeq and is a predicted model, not a curated record. The transcript has a single exon. Lineage: Eukaryota; Metazoa; Chordata; Mammalia; Lagomorpha; Ochotonidae.
ACCAUUCCUCAGCCUCUUGGCUAUGAUCAAGUAUAGUAUCGGUUCUUGUCAGUUUAUACGUCCUCUAUCUGACGACAAUAUGAUAAAUGGAGUUUUGGAGCAGGGAGUUGGAAUAAAAGCUAGCCCCGUCCACUUGGCGCACUGACUUGGUAUUGCAGCACCUCCAGAAGUGGUGUACCCACU